GGGUUAACGCCUCCGGGCACAAUCCCCACCCUUUGUAACCGCGGCCCGGAUUCGGCGCCUGGCGGGGACCCCCCGCGAACGGGGGGCGGUCCCCGCCUGCCGGAAUUAGCCAACCCUGCCUAGAAAAUUGAAGUCUGAGAACAAGUUAAAUUAAACAAAACUUUCAACAACGGAUCUCUUGGUUCU
RNAcentral lists this unclassified non-coding RNA (186 nucleotides) under rhizosphere metagenome. RNAcentral describes it as "partial ribosomal RNA internal transcribed spacer region". The record is from RNAcentral.